Long non-coding RNA from Mauremys reevesii (Reeves's turtle), 2615 nucleotides. RefSeq lists it as uncharacterized. The record is from RefSeq and is a predicted model, not a curated record. NCBI's taxonomy places the organism in Eukaryota, Metazoa, Chordata, Testudines, Geoemydidae. The transcript has 3 exons.
UCGGCGGCCAUUUUAUCGCCCUGCGCGCUGCGAGCGGGAACGGAGUGGGCGGGGCUGUCAAAGGCGCGACGUUUCCAGGGAGACCGCCUAGCUGAGGCACCGCUCGGGCUGUGUUAGGGGGUGUUCGCCGCGGGGAGGCGGGCGCCUCUGGUCAGGGGCUCCGGCUCCGUCACUGCCGCCCGUCUGAUGGCCAUCACCCCUGCGGUAGCGAGUCUCUCUUCGGGCCGGAGCACCGGGGGUCGCUCUUGGUUGGCCAGUGGCCGCCCAGAGGAAAGGGCCGAGGAGCCCCCCACUCGCCGCGGGGGACGCGGGAGCCGGCGCUGUGUGGAUGCGCCAUGCGAGGAGAGCCGCGGAGGACGGGGCUGGUCGGGUACUAGCUCGGCUGGCAGCGUCCUUAGACCCGGGUAGGCUCCCUCGUAGUCCCGCUCGCUGGUCGCUGCCCCCUUCAUGUGGGACGCUUCUUCCGCCCUCUGCAGCUGCCUGCUGGUUCGCCCCUGCACAGUGGGCGCUGGUGACUGCAGCAGUCAUGGACCAGUAGCCCGAGGAAGCUUUCGUAAGCCUGUAGGAUCUGAAGACCCCAGGCAUCUCUAGAAACAAUUGGAAAAGAGGAGCCGUGUGAUGUAUCAGUUCUCCAGACUGCCAGCAAUUGAGCUGUGGACCACAGGUAAAAAUAGGCAUGAAAUACAUUCAACAGCAAACCACUGGGAGUCUGGAAGAAAUUGACAGCUCUGUAUUCCUGAAGGGCAAACCUGUACAUAGUGAGUAAUGGUCGUGAAAUGAUGAUUUGCAGGCCUCUGAACUAGGAAAGGUAGGGUUGUAAAUUAGUUCUUGUGUGUAGUGCCUUUAAAAAGUCCAUUUUCUAGUUCUCAUUAUGAAUCUCUUUAAAACUGGAUGCUUUCCAGUUUCAGAGGGUGCAUUGGUGGGUGUUCAGAAGUCAACUUGCGACAUUUUCUACAUUGAGUAGUUCAAAGUGAAAGAGAUGUAGUGUGUGAGCAUUUAGCACUAUUUGGAUGGAAAUCCUCUUUUUAGUGGGCCAGCUCUCCAUGGAAUGGUUAGUGUAAUAACCAGAAAGGGCAUUUACAACAAGUCUAUAUUUUUAAGAGGAAAAUGUACGGUACUGCGUUAAAUCUAUGGGCAUAUGCAAUGCUAUAUGUCUAAAAGCUAUUGAACAACCGACUACUUUACACGGCAUCAUCCACUGAUUGCUGCUGUGGGUUCAAGAGAACAGUCAUUCAGCUCUUAGUUAAAACCACUGCCUAGAUCUUCAAAAUGUAAAACGUGUACUAAAGGCUUCUCUAGGAGAUGAAAAAUAACAUACCAUUAUAUGACAAAGUUCACAUGUUCAGUAAAAUAUUAUUCAGUACAGGGAUGUCAGAAUUCAGCCCUACACACUUCCUAGCGAGAGGUUUGUAGCAUUAGGAAAGCAAGAUUUUUCAUACUUAAUUUGUAAAUCAUGAUACUGUAGCGGCCAGUACAGGCAGUUUUUCUACUCUGUUAAAGAACACUAUCACCAAGGCUAGUUGGCAUAUCACAAACUCAACUCCAUGGGUGAAAUCCUGGCCCCACUGAAGUCAAUGGGAGUUUGGCCGUUGUCUUACUGGGGCCAGGAUUUCACCCCAGGUGUUUGCCACAAAACCUAAAUCUGUAAUUAAUUUGUCUCUAUUUAGACUACAAGAGUCUGCUAUGACUAAUAUACUUUGGUAUCAAGGGAUAAGUGUCUGCUCUGCCUGACUCUCCUUUCUUGCUCUAGUGAACAGAGAUACCUCACACCUGCUUUUUGCUUCAAAAUAGCUUUUUAAUGAAAUAAGAGAAUAAAACAAAAUAUGCUAGCAUAAAACAGGAAAUUCAAUGGCUAAACAAGAAGUCCCGCCAUACAACUUAUAAUACAAAAAGAUUUUUCUGCUUAUCUAAAGAUAACUUAGCCAUAACAAAUGGGAAGAUGUACAAUCUAAUGAGCAGGGCAGAGGCUGGGAUGUGGGUGUCAGCUAGCUAAACUGAGUACAUGGUUCAGUGCUUUCCUUCUACUGAGGACUGAAGCAUAUGAACCUUGAGCAAUUUACCUGAAUGAAGGCAAGUUGUUAACUUUUCAAUUUUUUUUAAGAGAUAUGAAGUAUGCACUGCUGUUUUACAUAAAUUCAAUUUUGAUCCACAAAUAUAUUAGUGAAUUGAUUUACAAUGUAAUUAAUCCAACUUGAUUUAUCCUAUGAAGUGUUUCACCCAAAUAAACUUCUGCAUAAAGUGAAAAAAAUGUACUUGUUCUUUCUGCAUUGUGCACCUCAGUGAGGCACUAGUAUCCACAAGAUUAAUAACUGCACCAAAAUAUAUAUUUUUACAGAGAUUGGUUUCUUUGUGAAAUUAAGGCCAUAUUUCAGAAUUACUUGUUCUGAAUGGAAGUAAAAAUAAAAAUCCCCAGUAAUGCUUGCUCCUUACAUAUGGAUGGACACAAGUUACCUUUUGUACAACUGUUGGAACUGGGCAUGCAUUUUGAUAUUGAACAAACAAAAAUAAUUACUUCCACGCUUUGAGUUAUGUUAACUGUUUCACUGCUGUUUGAACAGAUGCAUAUUAGCUUCAGUGAGACUUUUAAUUCAGGAAGUUUCCCAUUGAAAAAAAAA